AGUGAACGCUGGCGGUAGGCCUAACACAUGCAAGUCGAACGGCAGCACAGUAAGAGCUUGCUCUUACGGGUGGCGAGUGGCGGACGGGUGAGGAAUACAUCGGAAUCUACUUUUUCGUGGGGGAUAACGUAGGGAAACUUACGCUAAUACCGCAUACGACCUACGGGUGAAAGCAGGGGAUCUUCGGACCUUGCGCGAUUGAAGGAGCCGAUGUCGGAUUAGCUAGUUGGCGGGGUAAAGGCCCACCAAGGCGACGAUCCGUAGCUGGUCUGAGAGGAUGAUCAGCCACACUGGAACUGAGACACGGUCCAGACUCCUACGGGAGGCAGCAGUGGGGAAUAUUGGACAAUGGGCGCAAGCCUGAUCCAGCCAUACCGCGUGGGUGAAGAAGGCCUUCGGGUUGUAAAGCCCUUUUGUUGGGAAAGAAAAGCAGCAGGUUAAUACCCCGCUGUUCUGACGGUACCCAAAGAAUAAGCACCGGCUAACUUCGCG
Molecule: ribosomal RNA, 492 nt
Filed under: uncultured bacterium
Lineage: Bacteria
Description: partial 16S ribosomal RNA
Rfam family: Bacterial small subunit ribosomal RNA
Source: RNAcentral